This 731-nucleotide ribosomal RNA is filed under the name Streptomyces sp. MHA2. Its description in RNAcentral is "bacterial SSU rRNA". It matches the Rfam family "Bacterial small subunit ribosomal RNA", at positions 284 to 996 of the family's 1533-position model. Lineage: Bacteria; Bacillati; Actinomycetota; Actinomycetes; Kitasatosporales; Streptomycetaceae. The record is from RNAcentral.
UACCCGGCCUGAAAGGGUGACCGGCCACACUGAGACUGAAACACGGCCCAAACUCCUACGGAAGGCAGCAGUGGGGAAUAUUGCACAAUGGGCGCAAGCCUGAUCCAGCCACGCCGCGUGAGGGAUGACGGCCUUCGGGUUGUAAACCUCUUUCAGCAGGGAAGAAGCCUUGCCUUUUUGACUGGUGUGACGGUACUUGCACAAGAAGCACCGGCUAACUACGUGCCAGCAGCCGCAGUAAUACGUAAGCUGCAAGCUGUUGUCCGGAUUUAUUGAGCGUAAAGAGCUCAUAGGCCGCUUGUCGCGUCGAUUGUGAAAGCUCAAGGCUUAACCCUGGGUCUGCAGUCGAUACGCGCAGGCUACAGUUCGGUAGGGGAGACUGGAAUUUUCCUAGUGUUACCGGUGAAAAUGCGCAGAUAUCAAGAGGAACCACCGGUGGCGAAGGGCGGGUCUCUGGGCCGAUACUGACGCUGAGGAGCGAAAGCGUGGGGAGCGAACAAGAUUAGAUACCCUGGUACUCCACGCUGUAAACGGUGGGAACUAGGUGUGGGCAGCAUUUCCACGUUGUCUGUUGCAGUAACUAACCCAUUUAAGUUCCCCCGCCUGGGGAAUACGGCCGCAAGGCUAAAACUCAAAAGGAAUUGACCGGGGGCCCGCACAAGCCGCCGAACCAUGUGGCUUAAUUCCAACCCAACCCAAAAAACCUUACAAAGCCUUGACAUACGCCCGAA